GAAGUUAGAGGCAUUGGCUCAACCAAUGUAUGCUUUGGAAACUGUUAGACUNGAGUGCAGAAGGGGAGAGUGGAAUUCCAUGUGUAGCGGUGAAAUGCGUAGAUAUAUGGAGGANCACCGGUGGCGAAAGCGGCUCUCUGGUCUGUCACUGACGCUGAGGCUCGAAAGCGUGGGUAGCGAACAGGAUUAGAUACCCUGGUAGUNCACGCCGUAAACGCUGAGUGCUAGGUGUUAGGUCCUUUCCGGGACUUAGUGCCGACGCUAACGCAUUAAGCACUCCGCCUGGGGAGUACGACCGCAAGGUUGAAACUCAAAGGAAUUGACGGGGGCCCGCACAAGCGGUGGAGCAUGUGGUUUAAUUCGAAGCAACGCGAAGAACCUUACCAGGUCUUGACAUCCCGAUGCCCGCUCUAGAGAUAGAGUUUUUCUUCGGAACAUCGGAGACAGGUGGUGCAUGGUUGUCGUCAGCUCGUGUCGUGAGAUGUUGGGUUAAGUCCCGCAACGAGCGCAACCCUUAUUGUUAGUUGCCAUCAUUAAGUUGGGCACUCUAGCGAGACUGCCGGUAAUAAACCGGAGGAAGGUGGGGAUGACGUCAAAUCAUCAUGCCCCUUAUGACCUGGGCUACACACGUGCUACAAUGGUUGGUACAACGAGUCGCAAGCCGGUGACGGCAAGCUAAUCUCUGAAAGCCAAUCUCAGUUCGGAUUGUAGGCUGCAACUCGCCUACAUGAAGUCGGAAUCGCUAGUAAUCGCGGAUCAGCACGCCGCGGUGAAUACGUUCCCGGGCCUUGUACACACCGCCCGUCACACCACGAGAGUUUGUAACACCCAAAGUCGGUGAGGUAACCAUUUAUGGGGUCAGCCGCCU
RNAcentral lists this ribosomal RNA (868 nucleotides) under uncultured bacterium. RNAcentral's name for it is "bacterial SSU rRNA". It matches the Rfam family "Bacterial small subunit ribosomal RNA", at positions 591 to 1458 of the family's 1533-position model. The record is from RNAcentral.